Molecule: ribosomal RNA, 451 nt
Filed under: uncultured bacterium
Lineage: Bacteria
Description: partial 16S ribosomal RNA
Rfam family: Bacterial small subunit ribosomal RNA
Source: RNAcentral
AGCGAACGCUGGCGGCAGGCCUAACACAUGCAAGUCGAGCGCGUGUAGCAAUACACGAGCGGCAGACGGGUGAGUAACACGUGGGAACGUGCCCUUUGGUUCGGAAUAACUCAGGGAAACUUGAGCUAAUACCGGAUAAGUCCGUAAGGAGAAAGAUUUAUCGCCGAAGGAGCGGCCCGCGUCCGAUUAGCUAGUUGGUGGGGUAAUGGCCCACCAAGGCUACGAUCGGUAGCUGGUCUGAGAGGAUGACCAGCCACACUGGGACUGAGACACGGCCCAGACUCCUACGGGAGGCAGCAGUGGGGAAUAUUGGACAAUGGGCGCAAGCCUGAUCCAGCCAUGCCGCGUGGGUGAUGAAGGCCCUAGGGUUGUAAAGCCCUUUCGGCGGGGAAGAUAAUGACGGUACCCGCAGAAGAAGCCCCGGCUAACUUCGUGCCAGCAGCCGCAGUAA